UCUCCUCUGGACUUCAGGGGCUCUCUUACUUGCUUCUGGGUUUGGGAUCAGCAUCAGUGCGGUUUUUUUAUUUCAAAGGAAGUGAGUCCCGGAUAUCUCUGGCAGGCGCUGAACAGGCUCAGCUGGCAAACCAAUCCUUAGCUUGGAAUGAUGAUGUUUCCAGCAGAAGCCUCUUGCAAAUUACACACUUUAAACUCAGCCUUGGCUUGGAACUGGAAUCCUUGUUAUGCCUUUGACUACAAAUCCCAGUACACAGUUCACCUACUACAAUACCGGAACUAGAGGAUCUCUGGUCUGAUCCAACAGCGUUAUUAUUAUUAUUUUAAAGUUUUCUGAUCUUGUUUUUGGAAGGAGGUCCUGGAAACUCUACUGAAGGGCAGCUCAUAAAUCCUUUAAAUAAAUAAGGAAUAUGGCUGAUA
Molecule: long non-coding RNA, 419 nt
Organism: Podarcis muralis (Common wall lizard)
Lineage: Eukaryota; Metazoa; Chordata; Lepidosauria; Squamata; Lacertidae
Source: RefSeq, a predicted model, not a curated record